GCUUGUCUCAGAUUAAGCCAUGCAUGUCUAAGUAUAAAUGUUAUACAGUGAAACUGCGAAUGGCUCAUUAAAACAGUUAUAGUUUAUUUGAUAAUCGAAUUUACAUGGAUAACUGUAGUAAUUCUAGAGCUAAUACAUGCGUAAAGUCCCGACUCUCGCGGGGAGGGAUGUAUUUAUUAGAUAAAAAACCAAUGCGGCCUCUGGUCGGUAUUGUGGUGAAUCAUAGUAACUUUUCGAAUCGCAUGGCUUCACGCCGGCGAUAGUUCAUUCAAAUUUCUGCCCUAUCAGCUUUCGACGGUAGUGUAGUGGACUACCGUGGCGUUAACGGGUAACGGAGAAUUAGGGUUCGAUUCCGGAGAGGGAGCCUGAGAAACGGCUACCACAUCCAAGGAAGGCAGCAGG
RNAcentral lists this ribosomal RNA (402 nucleotides) under uncultured Protaspa. Its description in RNAcentral is "partial small subunit ribosomal RNA". It matches the Rfam family "Eukaryotic small subunit ribosomal RNA", at positions 30 to 432 of the family's 1831-position model. Lineage: Eukaryota; Cercozoa; Thecofilosea; Cryomonadida. The record is from RNAcentral.